Molecule: ribosomal RNA, 2353 nt
Filed under: Escherichia coli 2-222-05_S4_C2
Lineage: Bacteria; Pseudomonadati; Pseudomonadota; Gammaproteobacteria; Enterobacterales; Enterobacteriaceae
Description: bacterial LSU rRNA
Rfam family: Bacterial large subunit ribosomal RNA
Source: RNAcentral
GUGACUGCGUACCUUUUGUAUAAUGGGUCAGCGACUUAUAUUCUGUAGCAAGGUUAACCGAAUAGGGGAGCCGAAGGGAAACCGAGUCUUAACUGGGCGUUAAGUUGCAGGGUAUAGACCCGAAACCCGGUGAUCUAGCCAUGGGCAGGUUGAAGGUUGGGUAACACUAACUGGAGGACCGAACCGACUAAUGUUGAAAAAUUAGCGGAUGACUUGUGGCUGGGGGUGAAAGGCCAAUCAAACCGGGAGAUAGCUGGUUCUCCCCGAAAGCUAUUUAGGUAGCGCCUCGUGAAUUCAUCUCCGGGGGUAGAGCACUGUUUCGGCAAGGGGGUCAUCCCGACUUACCAACCCGAUGCAAACUGCGAAUACCGGAGAAUGUUAUCACGGGAGACACACGGCGGGUGCUAACGUCCGUCGUGAAGAGGGAAACAACCCAGACCGCCAGCUAAGGUCCCAAAGUCAUGGUUAAGUGGGAAACGAUGUGGGAAGGCCCAGACAGCCAGGAUGUUGGCUUAGAAGCAGCCAUCAUUUAAAGAAAGCGUAAUAGCUCACUGGUCGAGUCGGCCUGCGCGGAAGAUGUAACGGGGCUAAACCAUGCACCGAAGCUGCGGCAGCGACGCUUAUGCGUUGUUGGGUAGGGGAGCGUUCUGUAAGCCUGUGAAGGUGUGCUGUGAGGCAUGCUGGAGGUAUCAGAAGUGCGAAUGCUGACAUAAGUAACGAUAAAGCGGGUGAAAAGCCCGCUCGCCGGAAGACCAAGGGUUCCUGUCCAACGUUAAUCGGGGCAGGGUGAGUCGACCCCUAAGGCGAGGCCGAAAGGCGUAGUCGAUGGGAAACAGGUUAAUAUUCCUGUACUUGGUGUUACUGCGAAGGGGGGACGGAGAAGGCUAUGUUGGCCGGGCGACGGUUGUCCCGGUUUAAGCGUGUAGGCUGGUUUUCCAGGCAAAUCCGGAAAAUCAAGGCUGAGGCGUGAUGACGAGGCACUACGGUGCUGAAGCAACAAAUGCCCUGCUUCCAGGAAAAGCCUCUAAGCAUCAGGUAACAUCAAAUCGUACCCCAAACCGACACAGGUGGUCAGGUAGAGAAUACCAAGGCGCUUGAGAGAACUCGGGUGAAGGAACUAGGCAAAAUGGUGCCGUAACUUCGGGAGAAGGCACGCUGAUAUGUAGGUGAAGUCCCUCGCGGAUGGAGCUGAAAUCAGUCGAAGAUACCAGCUGGCUGCAACUGUUUAUUAAAAACACAGCACUGUGCAAACACGAAAGUGGACGUAUACGGUGUGACGCCUGCCCGGUGCCGGAAGGUUAAUUGAUGGGGUUAGCGGUAACGCGAAGCUCUUGAUCGAAGCCCCGGUAAACGGCGGCCGUAACUAUAACGGUCCUAAGGUAGCGAAAUUCCUUGUCGGGUAAGUUCCGACCUGCACGAAUGGCGUAAUGAUGGCCAGGCUGUCUCCACCCGAGACUCAGUGAAAUUGAACUCGCUGUGAAGAUGCAGUGUACCCGCGGCAAGACGGAAAGACCCCGUGAACCUUUACUAUAGCUUGACACUGAACAUUGAGCCUUGAUGUGUAGGAUAGGUGGGAGGCUUUGAAGUGUGGACGCCAGUCUGCAUGGAGCCGGCCUUGAAAUACCACCCUUUAAUGUUUGAUGUUCUAACGUUGGCCCCUGAUCGGGGUUGCGGACAGUGUCUGGUGGGUAGUUUGACUGGGGCGGUCUCCUCCUAAAGAGUAACGGAGGAGCACGAAGGUUGGCUAAUCCUGGUCGGACAUCAGGAGGUUAGUGCAAUGGCAUAAGCCAGCUUGACUGCGAGCGUGACGGCGCGAGCAGGUGCGAAAGCAGGUCAUAGUGAUCCGGUGGUUCUGAAUGGAAGGGCCAUCGCUCAACGGAUAAAAGGUACUCCGGGGAUAACAGGCUGAUACCGCCCAAGAGUUCAUAUCGACGGCGGUGUUUGGCACCUCGAUGUCGGCUCAUCACAUCCUGGGGCUGAAGUAGGUCCCAAGGGUAUGGCUGUUCGCCAUUUAAAGUGGUACGCGAGCUGGGUUUAGAACGUCGUGAGACAGUUCGGUCCCUAUCUGCCGUGGGCGCUGGAGAACUGAGGGGGGCUGCUCCUAGUACGAGAGGACCGGAGUGGACGCCUCACUGGUGUUCGGGUUGUCAUGCCAAUGGCACUGCCCGGUAGCUAAAUGCGGAAGAGAUAAGUGCUGAAAGCCUCUAAGCACGAAACUUGCCCCGAGAUGAGUUCUCCCUGACUCCUUGAGAGUCCUGAAGGAACGUUGAAGACGACGACGUUGAUAGGCCGGGUGUGUAAGCGCAGCGAUGCGUUGAGCUAACCGGUACUAAUGAACCGUGAGGCUUAACCU